GGGAAAGGUGAAAAGAACCCCGGGAGGGGAGUGAAAUAGAACCUGAAACCGUAUGUCUACAAUACGUGGAAGAGCUAUGGAGAAGACCUAGUCUCCUCCAGCUCGACUGCGUGCCUUUUGGAGAAUGAGCCGGCGAGUUACGGUGGCUGGCCAGGUUAAGUGCUUGAGGCACGGAGCCGUAGGGAAACCGAGUCCGAAUAGGGCGAUUAGUCAGUCAUCGUAGACCCGAAGCCAGGUGAUCUACCCAUGGCCAGGGUGAAGUGGGGAUAAAACCCCAUGGAGGCCCGAACUGAUGUAGGUUUAAAACUGCUCGGAUGAGCUGUGGGUAGGGGUGAAAGGCCAAUCAAACCUGGAGAUAGCUGGUUCUCCCCGAAAUAGCUUUAGGGCUAGCCUCCGGUAGGAGGAGAGGGGGUAGAGCACUGAAUGGGCUAGGGGGCUAACCCGCCUACCAAACCCAAUCAAACUCCGAAUACCUCUCCUUAAUGCCGGGGAGUCAGACUGCGGGGGAUAAGCCUCGUGGUCAAAAGGGAAACAGCCCAGACCGUCAGCUAAGGCCCCCAAACGUGGGCUAAGUGGUAAAGGUGGUGACCUUGCUGGAACAGCCAGGAGGUUGGCUUAGAAGCAGCCAUCCUUUAAAAAGUGCGUAAUAGCUUACUGGUCUAGCGAUGUUGCGCCGAAAAAUUUUCGGGGCUUAAGUCCACUGCCGAAGCUGCGGAUUCUAGAAUUUAGUUUCUAUCUUCUAGGAUGGUAGGGGAGCGUUGGGUAAGCCGUUGAAGCGGGACAGUGAUGACCCGUGGAGGUAUCCCAAGUGAGAAUGCCGGCAUGAGUAGCGAUAAAGAGGGUGAGAAUCCCUCUCGCCGUAAGCCUAAGGUUUCCUGAGGAAGGCUCGUCCUCUCAGGGUUAGUCGGAUCCUAAGCCGAGGCGGAAACGCGUAGGUGAUGGGCAGCUGGUUGAUAUUCCAGCACUAUCAGUUUUCUGUUAUUCCGAUGGGGUGACGCAGGAGGGUAGGCCAUCCGCCUGGAGGAAUAGGCGGUCUAAGCCCGUAGGUGGAGAGAAGGUAAUCCUUUCUCUCAUUAACACCGAGAGGUGAUGGGGAGCUCCUACGGGAGCGAACUGGUUGAUCCCCCACUGCCUAGAAAAGCCUCUAAGGAGGAAGACUGGUAUCCGUACCGCAAACCGACACAGGUAGGCAGGAUGAAUAUUCUAAGGCGCGCGAGUGAUCCCCCGUUAAGGAACUAGGCAAUUUAACCCUGUAACUUCGGAAGAAGGGGUGCCUUUCUCCGUAAAUAGAUUUCUCUAGGAGCGGAGAGAGGUCGCAGAGAAAUGGCUCUAGCGACUGUUUAUUAAAAACACAGGACUCUGCUAAGCCGUAAGGCGAUGUAUAGGGUCUGACGCCUGCCCAGUGCUGGAAGGUUAAGGGGAGGGGUUAGCGAAAGCGAAGCUCCGAACUGAAGCCCCAGUAAACGGCGGCCGUAACUAUAACGGUCCUAAGGUAGCGAAAUUCCUUGUCGGGUAAGUUCCGACCCGCAUGAAAGGCGCAACGACUGGAGCGCUGUCUCAACGGGGAGCUCGGCGAAGUUUCAAUACCAGUGCAGAUGCUGGUUACCCGCGACUAGACGGGAAGACCCCGUGAACCUUUACUGUAUCCUGAUAUUGGAUCCGGGUACAUCUUGUGUAGGAUAGGUGGGAGGCAGAGAAGUCACCGCGUCAGCGGUGAUGGAGCCAACCUUGAAAUACCACCCUUGAUGUAUUCAGAUUCUAACCUGCAGAAGUUAUCCUUCUGAGGAACAGUGUCAGGGGGGCAGUUUGACUGGGGCGGUCGCCUCCUAAACAGUAACGGAGGCGCCCUAAGGUUCCCUCAGCACGUUUGGAAAUCGUGCGUGGAGUGUAAAGGCAUAAGGGAGCUUGACUGCGAGAGGGACACCUCAAGCAGAGACGAAAGUCGGGCUUAGUGAUCCGGUGGUGCAGUAUGGAAUGGCCAUCGCUCAACGGAUAAAAGGUACUCUGGGGAUAACAGGCUGGUCUCUCCCAAGAGUCCAUAUCGACGGAGAGGCUCGGCACCUCGAUGUCGGCUCGUCGCAUCCUGGGGCUGAAGUAGGUCCCAAGGGUUG
This 2111-nucleotide ribosomal RNA is filed under the name bioreactor metagenome. Its description in RNAcentral is "bacterial LSU rRNA". It matches the Rfam family "Bacterial large subunit ribosomal RNA", at positions 507 to 2574 of the family's 2925-position model. The record is from RNAcentral.